UAGUCAUAUGCUUGUCCCAAAGAUUAAGCCAUGCAUGUCUAAGUAUAAACCUUUAUACGGUGAAACUGCGAAUGGCUCAUUAAAUCAGUUAUAAUUUAUUUGAUGGUCUCUUUACUACUUGGAUAACCGUGGUAAUUCUAGAGCUAAUACAUGCAAAAAGGCCCGGAAGGGCUGUAUUUAUUAGAUAAGAAACCAAUGCUUUUGGUGAUUCAUAAUAACUUUGCGGAUCGUAUGGCCUUGUGCCGACGACGCUUCAUUCAAAUUUCUGCCCUAUCAA
Molecule: ribosomal RNA, 277 nt
Filed under: uncultured eukaryote
Lineage: Eukaryota
Description: partial 18S ribosomal RNA
Rfam family: Eukaryotic small subunit ribosomal RNA
Source: RNAcentral